Molecule: ribosomal RNA, 496 nt
Filed under: uncultured bacterium
Lineage: Bacteria
Description: partial 16S ribosomal RNA
Rfam family: Bacterial small subunit ribosomal RNA
Source: RNAcentral
GAUGAACGCUGGCGGCGUGCCUAAUACAUGCAAGUCGAGCGAACAGACGAGGAGCUUGCUCCUCUGACGUUAGCGGCGGACGGGUGAGUAACACGUGAUAACCUACCUAUAAGACUGGGAUAACUUCGGGAAACCGGAGCUAAUACCGGAUAAUAUAUUGAACCGCAUGGUUCAAUAGUGAAAGACGGUUUUGCUGUCACUUAUAGAUGGAUCGGCGCCGCAUUAGCUAGUUGGUAAGGUAACGGCUUACCAAGGCAACGAUGCGUAGCCGACCUGAGAGGGUGAUCGGCCACACUGGAACUGAGACACGGUCCAGACUCCUACGGGAGGCAGCAGUAGGGAAUCUUCCGCAAUGGGCGAAAGCCUGACGGAGCAACGCCGCGUGAGUGAUGAAGGUCUUCGGAUCGUAAAACUCUGUUAUUAGGGAAGAACAAAUGUGUAAGUAACUAUGCACGUCUUGACGGUACCUAAUCAGAAAGCCACGGCUAACUACGUG